GCACCGCAGCCCUGGGGGCUGGAGAGCAUGGGGCUGAGCUCCCUGGACCAGGGCUGGAGAUGACACUGGAGUGAAGCCUCCCAGCAGGAUUUCUACCUUCAGAUGCAUCACUUGAGAAGAAGAUCCACCCUUGUUUUCUGUAUGGGCUCUACAGAGAAGUGGUGGCAGUGGUGGAGAUGGCAGUGGAGAUCUGCUGGUCGUGCCUCCAAAUACCAUCAGGGCUUGAAAGAUCCACACUGUGAUCAUCAGAUCAUCUGAGAAGCAAAAGCAAUGGAGAUAGAGGCUGGUCCAAACAGACUUCUGCUGCCAUAGACACUGAAGUCCUUGAAAAGAGAGGAACUUGGGGUGUCACUGGCUGUAGGUGCCCCAGGUUUAUGAGAAGACAUUGCAAAUUGGGGCACAUCCAUCUCGUGGCAGCUUCUCCCCGAUCCUGGGGUCAUGUGCAAGGAAACAGGGCUCAGGUCUCCUUUGCAGAGGAGCCCUGGGCUCUCUCCGAGGGCUUCUGCUUGGCUUCCGUGGGGACGUGGCGUCAUUGGGAGCGCCUGCCAAGUGGCAUCGGUGCCGUGACUCCAGCUCCGUCGCCGAGGCCACCGAGCCAGCUCCGGAGGGGAGCCGGGCACGGCAGAAGGAGCAGGGAAAGCCAAAAAGCUGCUCGCCCGGGCCCAGGCGUGC
This 672-nucleotide long non-coding RNA is filed under the name Calidris pygmaea (Spoon-billed sandpiper). RNAcentral describes it as "lncRNA (ENSCPGG00000018295.1)". Lineage: Eukaryota; Metazoa; Chordata; Aves; Charadriiformes; Scolopacidae. The record is from RNAcentral.